AAAAACAUCGCUUCUCGAAAUAACGAUGAGAAGUCCAGCCUGCCCAGUGAUCAAUUAAACGGCCGCGGUACCCUGACCGUGCAAAGGUAGCGCAAUCACCUGUUCUUUAAAUAAGGACUAGUAUGAAUGGCACCACGAGGGUUACACUGUCUCCCCUUUUUAAUCAGUGAAACUGAUCUUCCCGUGAAGAAGCGGGAAUAUACAUAUAAGACGAGAAGACCCCAUGAAGCUUUAAAUUCAGAAUCAACUGCUAACAAUCAUAUCAUUCUAACAAAACAGACCUGACUUCUGACUUUCGGUUGGGGUGACCGCGGAGAAAAACAAAUCCUCCACGAUGAAAGGAACUUACUCCUUAUCCAAGAACUACAACUCUAAGAAUCAAUAAUCUGACAAAAUUGACCCAAAUUACUUUGAUCAACGAACCAAGUUACUCUGGGGAUAACAGCGCAAUCUAUUUCAAGAGCCCAUAUCGACAAAUAGGUUUACGACCUCGAUGUUGGAUCAGGGCAUCCAAGUGGCGCAACCGCUACUAACGGUUCGUUUGUUCAACGAUUAAAGCCCUACGUGAUCUGAG
This is a ribosomal RNA of 574 nucleotides. It matches the Rfam family "Bacterial large subunit ribosomal RNA", at positions 1809 to 2609 of the family's 2925-position model.